Molecule: ribosomal RNA, 493 nt
Filed under: uncultured bacterium
Lineage: Bacteria
Description: partial 16S ribosomal RNA
Rfam family: Bacterial small subunit ribosomal RNA
Source: RNAcentral
AGUGAACGCUGGCGGUAGGCCUAACACAUGCAAGUCGAACGGUAACAGGUUAAGCUGACGAGUGGCGAACGGGUGAGUAAUGCAUCGGAACGUGCCCGAUCGUGGGGGAUAACGCAGCGAAAGCUGCGCUAAUACCGCAUACGAUCUGAGGAUGAAAGCGGGGGACCGUAAGGCCUCGCGCGAUCGGAGCGGCCGAUGGCAGAUUAGGUAGUUGGUGGGGUAAAGGCCCACCAAGCCGACGAUCUGUAGCUGGUCUGAGAGGACGACCAGCCACACUGGGACUGAGACACGGCCCAGACUCCUACGGGAGGCAGCAGUGGGGAAUUUUGGACAAUGGGCGAAAGCCUGAUCCAGCAAUGCCGCGUGCAGGAAGAAGGCCUUCGGGUUGUAAACUGCUUUUGUACGGAGCGAAAAGGCCCUUUCUAAUACAAGGGGCUCAUGACGGUACCGUAAGAAUAAGCACCGGCUAACUACGUGCCAGCCGCCGCAGUAA